GGGCAUGUAGCGCAGUUGGUAGCGCGCUCGCUUAGCAUCUUCCUUUCGAAGCUGCGAGAGGUCUCCGGUUCAAAUCCGGACUUGUCCA
Molecule: non-coding RNA, 88 nt
Organism: Ceratobasidium sp. AG-Ba
Lineage: Eukaryota; Fungi; Basidiomycota; Agaricomycetes; Cantharellales; Ceratobasidiaceae
Source: the annotation of a GenBank genome assembly